This 2760-nucleotide long non-coding RNA is filed under the name Nicotiana tabacum (common tobacco). RNAcentral describes it as "long non-coding RNA (NTAB_LNC000161)". Lineage: Eukaryota; Viridiplantae; Streptophyta; Magnoliopsida; Solanales; Solanaceae. The record is from RNAcentral.
UAAAGUAAUAGCUUGAGUUCAAAAAUUAUGGUGGAUACUACAUGCAGCAGCAUACUAGCAUUAUACCUCAAGUGAGUUUGUACAAACUUAGAGACUAUUUAGUAAUAUUCUACCUAAUUGCCAUGAUUUGAGUAUCAGUUAAAGGUCCAUGGACUCAUUGCAACCAAUUGAAGUUCAAAAAGAAAUUCAUUUCAAAGAACAUUUGAUUGAGACAGUAUUUUUCCAAGAUUUAGUACCCUCCACUUUUCCAUUAAACUAUCUUCCUACUAAAUUACAAACUCAUCCAUAAUUACAAUAGCAUUCGUUAGGUAUAUUGUUCUUCUAUGUCCUCCUUCUAUCUUUGCAAGCCAACACAGAGUUUUAUUCUUAUAGAACAAAACCAGCCAACUAAUAAGCACAUAACUGAAGAUCAUCAACUGCCAACAACAGCAUAUACACAUUGCGAAUUCAAAAUAUACAAGGGGGGUUACAUGCUAGAAGUACCUUGCGAAUUCAAAAUAUACACAUUUCACAGAGAGAUAAACUGGUUACUUGAAAUUAACAAAGUGCCCGGCAACAUAUCACCAAAGUUAUAUUUGAGUAGAAACUUCAUAGAGAGUGCAAAAUUGACAUAUCCACGUGCACAAAAUCUGACAGCCACAGUUAGCAUCAGGCAUGGACUGAGUCCAUUCUUUAGCCCAACAAAUAAAUGAGCACAAGAAAACCAACAAGUAUGGCAACAAUGGGAAUAAUAACAACCUUUUAGAAACUUAUUCUUAAAUGAACAAUAACAUAGAAACAUUUUUUCCUAGAAAAUUAGCAUUCUACAAUAGGCAAACAAGAAACAGGGGAAUGAAUAGAGAUAACAAACAGCUCAUAAUUCAAUUACAAGUACCAUAACAGAAACAGAGGUAUCCAGAAAACAAAUAUAUGAUAAUUACUUUCAAAAUAACACAUUUAAAACUCUUCGAAUACCCUAUUCAAGUUACAAAUGAUUACACCACUGUUUUCGUGCUUUUGUUUCUCAUAAUUUCUCAAUGUAAAUAGGAUAAUGCAUUGGACAAACAAACAAACAAUAGAAUGACACAAAACCAUCAUCGUGGUGUGCAAUUUCUAGCUGACCUGGCAACUCUAACUAAAUAAACAGGGAAAAAAGACCUCUUUUUAGAUCCAUUAGCAACUGAUUCAAAGCUCAACAUAUGAAUGACUACAUUAUUCACAAUCGACCCGCGAGUACUAAUAAAAUUAGACAAAAUGGAGGCGGUAAUAUAGAAGUAGUACCUCUUGGAAAAAGCGGAGUUAGAAGUGUUUAAGCCAAAAUGUUUUGGGGGUGAUUACAAUAAAUCUUAGCGAAUUACCUUGAGACUGAUUCAAACAUAACGCAGAGCAGAAAGAGGAAAUGCGGCCACUGACAAUUGUGUCUUCUCUAAAGGUCCCCAGGAGUUCUAAAAGAAAAGUGUGAAUUACAUUGGGUUUUACUAGAGAAUUUAUUUCGCAGAAAAAGACAAAGCGCCAUAGAUUAAUAUGAAAUAUUUCUCGGUUUUGCAUGUCAGAUAUUGAUGAAUGUGCGGAUUCAAAUGCCAAUUUGUGAGAACACAAUUGCAUAAACAAGCUGGGAGUUACAAUUGUUCCUGUCAUGACAAGCCUUGCCAUUCAUGAAGCCCAGGAAUGUCUAUCACCAAUUUUGGAGAAACGAAGUAAACCAAAAAGAUUGGGAGUUACAAUUGUUCCUGUCAUGAAGGAUACACCGGAGAUGGUAAAGAGAAUGGUCAUCGGCUCAUGGUUGUAUUGCACUAAACUCAAACUCUGAGUUCCCAUGGAUCAAGUUUUCUGUUGGUAAGAUUCUCAUAAAUUGAACCUGUUUCCGUGUUACUAGUUAAUGCUUAUUGUAGAAAUUUACUUACUAAUUACUUUACAAGUAACCUAAUUGUGUAAAUAUUGUUCUUUAUACCAUCAAUACAUAGAACUUAAUCUUUUAAGCAAGUAUUAUACAUGAUGGCGUUAGAGAUAUCACUAAUUUUUAAACACGCCAAACAAAUCAUUGUAAAUAAAAUGAAAGGAAAAAAGGGUAACGACAGAAAUAGAGACAUGCAAACUGAUUUCACAGCUUAAAUAAGAAAAUGUUUACUCCUUUCUAUAGUUUUUCGGUUUUCAUCUAAACCCAGCUUGAGUUUUCAGAACUAGACUAGUAUUUCGUUUGUGAACUAGAACCAGCAAAAGGAAAUAUUUCAAUUAAGACCCAAAUCACAUAAAUUAACCUACAAAAUACACACAAAAAACAAAAUUAACCUAAUGCAAAAGGAGAAAGAGGACUUACAUCUCGGUUUCAACAAAUAGUGUUAUAUCCUUCUUCAAAUUACACCGAUUCCACCAAAUUUCUGCUACUUUCGGUUGAGAAUCGAAAAACAUCAAAUGAAAGAAAGAGAAAAAAAUCAGUAAAGGGAAAACACAAAUUAACGGAGAAAAUAAACUUAAAACCCACAUGCAUGAAGAAAGAGAGACAAAAAAGCAAAAUCAAAGAAUGGAGAAGAGCAAAAUCAAAUUAACGUACGUCCAAUUGAUAGAUAGAUCUGAAGUUAUUACAUGGAUUUCGCUGAGAGAUGCUGAAAUGAAAGGGUUAUUGUAGAGGACCGAUUAUUGUGAAUGGCUAGAUGGGAAAAUUAAAGGGUUUCUGAGAACGGGGGAAAGAGGGGUAGCUGAAAAUGAGAAGGGGGUUUGGGAAAAAGAAAAAAAAGGAAUGGAUUAAAAAACGAGGGGAACAUUGGAGUUAGUAGGCCCUAU